UGUAGAACUUCUAAAGAGUUGUUAUGAUAUGACUUAAUCCACAUGAUUAGGAAGCAAGCGUAAAGGGCUUAUUGACUUCUGAAAUCAACAAGUUUAAUCAGGAAGAUGUGGGUUGAAGAUAUCUGGGUUAAGAUCAGACACACAAGUGUUGAACUUAUAGGGUGGUGAUAAGUUGCCGCAGAAGUUUUCUGAUGACCAUGUUGUGCUGUAGGACCACACUCAAAGGAGGGACAUCCAGAAUGUCCCUGAAGACAGCUGGUAGAAGUCCAGGAGAGCUUCCAAGAAACCAUCUCAGACUGAGGGGAGUCACAGCCACCUGGGCACAACCUCACUGCAUUCAGCGGCUCUUUUGCAAGAAUCACAUGGGAGAAAUACUGACCACUAGGCAAUGAGGAGACAACUAAGAAGUCCUUCAAGGUCUCAGGCUGCUUUUCAGAAGCAAACUACUAUGUAAUAACAGGCCAACACGGGAGGAAGUCGACAAACGCCACAAGGCAUGGUUAGUACUACUUUGAAAAUCACCGUUUCCUGUUUGCUAACAAACCUCCUUCUUUUCCAGGGUCCUUGCUCAAUCUUAACAGGUUUUGUUUGCCAGUGAGUGGCCUUAGGUUAAUUCACUCAAGCCAGUUGUUUUCAUUUUAUAUUUCUGAUCUCUGCCAGUCCCAUCCUUUUCUUCCUUUCCCUCUCAUCAACCUUC
Molecule: long non-coding RNA, 697 nt
Filed under: Chinchilla lanigera (long-tailed chinchilla)
Lineage: Eukaryota; Metazoa; Chordata; Mammalia; Rodentia; Chinchillidae
Description: lncRNA (ENSCLAG00000025858.1)
Source: RNAcentral